CUAUUUCCAUGAAGAGUGCUGAUAAUUCGAUGCAAAGAUUGAGAAAUUCAUUGGCUGAGAAACAGGCUGGGGUAGAAAUUGCUUAGGCAGCCUUGGAAGCUGCACAGGCUGCUCAUGAAGAAGAAAAAGGGAUUCUCCAUGCUCAAAUUGCUUCCCUUAAUUCCUUGUUGGAAAAAGAGAGAGCUGAAAAUGCAGAUGUUAUUAGAAAAUUCACCUCUCUUAUUCCCUCCUCUUCCUCUACUU
This 243-nucleotide long non-coding RNA is filed under the name Capsicum annuum. RNAcentral describes it as "long non-coding RNA (CANN_LNC022301)". The record is from RNAcentral. Lineage: Eukaryota; Viridiplantae; Streptophyta; Magnoliopsida; Solanales; Solanaceae.